ACCGUCAAUUCAUUUAAGUUUCACCCUUGCGGGCGUACUCCCCAGGUGGAUAACUUAACGCUUUCGCUGGGACGCUGGCUGUCUAUCGCCAACAUCGAGUUAUCAUCGUUUAGGGCGUGGACUACCAGGGUAUCUAAUCCUGUUCGAUCCCCACGCUUUCGUGCAUCAGCGUCAAUACCAGCUUAGUGAGCUGCCUUCGCAAUCGGAGUUCUAAGACAUAUCUAUGCAUUUCACCGCUACUUGUCUUAUUCCGCCCACUUCAAAUGGAUUCAAGCCCAUCAGUAUCAAAGGCACUGCGAUGGUUGAGCCACCGUAUUUCACCCCUGACUUAAUAGGCCGCCUACGCACCCUUUAAACCCAAUAAAUCCGGAUAACGCUCGGAUCCUCCGUAUUACCGCGG
RNAcentral lists this unclassified non-coding RNA (400 nucleotides) under uncultured fungus. RNAcentral describes it as "sequence contains ITS1". Lineage: Eukaryota; Fungi. The record is from RNAcentral.